RNA transcript from Otolemur garnettii (small-eared galago), 1220 nucleotides. It is a transcript of the gene named mortality factor 4-like protein 1 pseudogene, with no coding region annotated. The record is from RefSeq and is a predicted model, not a curated record. Lineage: Eukaryota; Metazoa; Chordata; Mammalia; Primates; Galagidae. The transcript has a single exon.
GAGUUGGGUGGGGUAGAGAGUAGGGGGCGGUAGUCGGGGGUGGUGGGAGAAGGAGGAGGCGGCGAAUCACUUAUAAAUGGCGCCGAAGAAGGACCCGAAGCCUAAAUUCCAGGAGGGUGAGCGAGUACUGUGCUUUCAUGGGCCUCUUCUUUAUGAAGCAAAGUGUGUAAACGUUGCCAUUAAAGACAAACAAGUGAAAUACUUUAUACAUUACAGCGGUUGGAAUAAAAAUUGGGAUGAAUGGGUUCCAGAGAGCAGAGUACUCAAGUAUGUGGACACCAAUCUGCAGAAACAGCGAGAACUUCAAAAAGCCAAUCAGGAGCAGUAUGCAGAGGGCAAGAUGAGAGGGGCUACCCCAGGAAAGAAGACAUCUGGUCUGCAACAGAAAAAUGUUGAAGUGAAAACAAAGAAGAACAAGCAGAAAACACCUGGAAAUGGAGAUGGUGGCAGUACCAGUGAGACACCUCAACCUCCUCGGAAGAAAAGGGCUCGGGUAGAUCCUACUGUUGAAAAUGAAGAAACAUUCAUGAACAGAGUUGAAGUUAAAGUAAAGAUUCCUGAAGAGCUAAAACCUUGGCUUGUUGAUGACUGGGACUUGAUUACCAGGCAAAAACAGCUCUUUUAUCUUCCGGCUAAGAAGAAUGUGGAUUCCAUUCUGGAGGAUUAUGCAAAUUAUAAGAAAUCUCGUGGAAACACAGAUAAUAAGGAGUAUGCUGUUAAUGAAGUCGUGGCAGGGAUAAAAGAAUACUUCAAUGUAAUGCUGGGCACUCAGCUCCUGUACAAAUUUGAGAGACCGCAGUAUGCUGAAAUUCUUGCAGAUCACCCUGAUGCACCCAUGUCCCAAGUAUACAGAGCACCACAAGUAUACAGAGCACCACUGAGAUUAUUUGUACGAAUUGGAGCGAUGUUGGCCUAUACACCUUUGGAUGAGAAGAGCCUUGCUUUAUUACUGAACUUUCUUCAUGAUUUCCUAAAGUAUCUGGCAAAGAAUUCUGCCACCUUGUUUAGUGCCAGCGAUUACGAAGUGGCUCCUCCUGAGUACCAUCGGAAAGCUGUGUGAGAGAUGGUCUCACCCCAUAUAUGUUUGGAUCUCUGUAAACACAUUUUUGUUCUUAGUCUUUCUCUUGUACAAACAAUGUACUUUGAAGAUGUUAGUGUAUAACAGAAUUGAUGUUUGUUUUCUUUUUGAUUUUAAACAGAGAAAAUAAAAGGGGUUCUAG